RNAcentral lists this ribosomal RNA (695 nucleotides) under uncultured bacterium. RNAcentral describes it as "bacterial SSU rRNA". It matches the Rfam family "Bacterial small subunit ribosomal RNA", at positions 111 to 823 of the family's 1533-position model. The record is from RNAcentral.
UAACGCGUGGAUAACCUGCCUCAUACAGGGGGAUAACAGUUAGAAAUGACUGCUAAUACCGCAUAAGCGCACAGGACCGCAUGGUCCGGUGUGAAAAACUCCGGUGGUAUGGGAUGGAUCCGCGUCUGAUUAGCUGGUUGGUGAGGUAACGGCCCACCAAGGCGACGAUCAGUAGCCGACCUGAGAGGGUGGCCGGCCACAUUGGGACUGAGACACGGCCCAAACUCCUACGGGAGGCAGCAGUGGGGAAUAUUGCACAAUGGGGGAAACCCUGAUGCAGCAACGCCGCGUGAGUGAAGAAGUAUUUCGGUAUGUAAAGCUCUAUCAGCAGGGAAGAAGAAAGGCGGUACCUGACUAAGAAGCCCCGGCUAACUACGUGCCAGCAGCCGCGGUAAUACGUAGGGGGCAAGCGUUAUCCGGAUUUACUGGGUGUAAAGGGAGCGUAGACGGCUGUGCAAGUCUGAAGUGAAAGCCCGUGGCUCAACCGCGGAACUGCUUUGGAAACUGUAUAGCUUGAGUACUGGAGAGGCAGGCGGAAUUCCUAGUGUAGCGGUGAAAUGCGUAGAUAUUAGGAGGAACACCAGUGGCGAAGGCGGCCUGCUGGGCAGAAACUGACGUUGAGGCUCGAAAGCGUGGGGAGCAAACAGGAUUAGAUACCCUGGUAGUCCACGCGGUAAACGAUGAAUGCUAGGUGU